GGUUAAGCGACUAAGCGUACACGGUGGAUGCCCUGGCAGUCAGAGGCGAUGAAGGACGUGCUAAUCUGCGAUAAGCGUCGGUAAGGUGAUAUGAACCGUUAUAACCGGCGAUUUCCGAAUGGGGAAACCCAGUGUGAUUCGUCACACUAUCAUUAACUGAAUCCAUAGGUUAAUGAGGCGAACCGGGGGAACUGAAACAUCUAAGUACCCCGAGGAAAAGAAAUCAACCGAGAUUCCCCCAGUAGCGGCGAGCGAACGGGGAGCAGCCCAGAGCCUGAAUCAGUGUGUGUGUUAGUGGAAGCGUCUGGAAAGGCGCGCGAUACAGGGUGACAGCCCCGUACACAAAAAUGCACAUACUGUGAGCUCGAUGAGUAGGGCGGGACACGUGGUAUCCUGUCUGAAUAUGGGGGGACCAUCCUCCAAGGCUAAAUACUCCUGACUGACCGAUAGUGAACCAGUACCGUGAGGGAAAGGCGAAAAGAACCCCGGCGAGGGGAGUGAAAAAGAACCUGAAACCGUGUACGUACAAGCAGUGGGAGCACAGAGCAAUCUGUGUGACUGCGUACCUUUUGUAUAAUGGGUCAGCGACUUAUAUUCUGUAGCAAGGUUAACCGAAUAGGGGAGCCGAAGGGAAACCGAGUCUUAACUGGGCGUUAAGUUGCAGGGUAUAGACCCGAAACCCGGUGAUCUAGCCAUGGGCAGGUUGAAGGUUGGGUAACACUAACUGGAGGACCGAACCGACUAAUGUUGAAAAAUUAGCGGAUGACUUGUGGCUGGGGGUGAAAGGCCAAUCAAACCGGGAGAUAGCUGGUUCUCCCCGAAAGCUAUUUAGGUAGCGCCUCGUGAAUUCAUCUCCGGGGGUAGAGCACUGUUUCGGCAAGGGGGUCAUCCCGACUUACCAACCCGAUGCAAACUGCGAAUACCGGAGAAUGUUAUCACGGGAGACACACGGCGGGUGCUAACGUCCGUCGUGAAGAGGGAAACAACCCAGACCGCCAGCUAAGGUCCCAAAGUCAUGGUUAAGUGGGAAACGAUGUGGGAAGGCCCAGACAGCCAGGAUGUUGGCUUAGAAGCAGCCAUCAUUUAAAGAAAGCGUAAUAGCUCACUGGUCGAGUCGGCCUGCGCGGAAGAUGUAACGGGGCUAAACCAUGCACCGAAGCUGCGGCAGCGACGCUGAUGCGUUGUUGGGUAGGGGAGCGUUCUGUAAGCCUGUGAAGGUGUACUGUGAGGUAUGCUGGAGGUAUCAGAAGUGCGAAUGCUGACAUAAGUAACGAUAAAGCGGGUGAAAAGCCCGCUCGCCGGAAGACCAAGGGUUCCUGUCCAACGUUAAUCGGGGCAGGGUGAGUCGACCCCUAAGGCGAGGCCGAAAGGCGUAGUCGAUGGGAAACAGGUUAAUAUUCCUGUACUUGGUGUUACUGCGAAGGGGGGACGGAGAAGGCUAUGUUGGCCGGGCGACGGUUGUCCCGGUUUAAGCGUGUAGGCUGGUUUUCCAGGCAAAUCCGGAAAAUCAAGGCUGAGGCGUGAUGACGAGGCACUACGGUGCUGAAGCAACAAAUGCCCUGCUUCCAGGAAAAGCCUCUAAGCAUCAGGUAACAUCAAAUCGUACCCCAAACCGACACAGGUGGUCAGGUAGAGAAUACCAAGGCGCUUGAGAGAACUCGGGUGAAGGAACUAGGCAAAAUGGUGCCGUAACUUCGGGAGAAGGCACGCUGAUAUGUAGGUGAAGCGACUUGCUCGUGGAGCUGAAAUCAGUCGAAGAUACCAGCUGGCUGCAACUGUUUAUUAAAAACACAGCACUGUGCAAACACGAAAGUGGACGUAUACGGUGUGACGCCUGCCCGGUGCCGGAAGGUUAAUUGAUGGGGUUAGCGCAAGCGAAGCUCUUGAUCGAAGCCCCGGUAAACGGCGGCCGUAACUAUAACGGUCCUAAGGUAGCGAAAUUCCUUGUCGGGUAAGUUCCGACCUGCACGAAUGGCGUAAUGAUGGCCAGGCUGUCUCCACCCGAGACUCAGUGAAAUUGAACUCGCUGUGAAGAUGCAGUGUACCCGCGGCAAGACGGAAAGACCCCGUGAACCUUUACUAUAGCUUGACACUGAACAUUGAGCCUUGAUGUGUAGGAUAGGUGGGAGGCUUUGAAGUGUGGACGCCAGUCUGCAUGGAGCCGACCUUGAAAUACCACCCUUUAAUGUUUGAUGUUCUAACGUUGACCCGUAAUCCGGGUUGCGGACAGUGUCUGGUGGGUAGUUUGACUGGGGCGGUCUCCUCCUAAAGAGUAACGGAGGAGCACGAAGGUUGGCUAAUCCUGGUCGGACAUCAGGAGGUUAGUGCAAUGGCAUAAGCCAGCUUGACUGCGAGCGUGACGGCGCGAGCAGGUGCGAAAGCAGGUCAUAGUGAUCCGGUGGUUCUGAAUGGAAGGGCCAUCGCUCAACGGAUAAAAGGUACUCCGGGGAUAACAGGCUGAUACCGCCCAAGAGUUCAUAUCGACGGCGGUGUUUGGCACCUCGAUGUCGGCUCAUCACAUCCUGGGGCUGAAGUAGGUCCCAAGGGUAUGGCUGUUCGCCAUUUAAAGUGGUACGCGAGCUGGGUUUAGAACGUCGUGAGACAGUUCGGUCCCUAUCUGCCGUGGGCGCUGGAGAACUGAGGGGGGCUGCUCCUAGUACGAGAGGACCGGAGUGGACGCAUCACUGGUGUUCGGGUUGUCAUGCCAAUGGCACUGCCCGGUAGCUAAAUGCGGAAGAGAUAAGUGCUGAAAGCAUCUAAGCACGAAACUUGCCCCGAGAUGAGUUCUCCCUGACUCCUUGAGAGUCCUGAAGGAACGUUGAAGACGACGACGUUGAUAGGCCGGAUGUGUAAGCGCAGCGAUGCGUUGAGCUAACCGGUACUAAUGAACCGUGAGGCUUAACCUU
RNAcentral lists this ribosomal RNA (2906 nucleotides) under Escherichia coli O39:H21. RNAcentral describes it as "23S ribosomal RNA". It matches the Rfam family "Bacterial large subunit ribosomal RNA". The record is from RNAcentral. Lineage: Bacteria; Pseudomonadati; Pseudomonadota; Gammaproteobacteria; Enterobacterales; Enterobacteriaceae.